Molecule: long non-coding RNA, 287 nt
Filed under: Pelobates cultripes (western spadefoot toad)
Lineage: Eukaryota; Metazoa; Chordata; Amphibia; Anura; Pelobatidae
Source: RNAcentral
GUCCUCCCCUGAUCUCUCUCCGCCCACCUUGACUCGUGUUUCUGACUGCCUCUCUGCUAUUUCCAACUGGAUGGCUGCUCACUUCCUUAAACUCAACCUGUCCAAAACAGAACUUCUAGUUUUUCCUCCCUCAAGUGCUGCUACUCCUGUGUGUCGCCAUCCAAGUCAACGGCGCUACUAUCACCUCUACCUCCCAGGCUCGCUGCCUAGGAGUUCUUUUUGAUUCUGAUCUCUCUUUUACUCCCCAUGUUCAAUCGAUAGCCAAAUCCUGUCGUUUCCAACUCAAG